RNAcentral lists this ribosomal RNA (429 nucleotides) under Triticum aestivum (bread wheat). RNAcentral's name for it is "partial small subunit ribosomal RNA". Lineage: Eukaryota; Viridiplantae; Streptophyta; Magnoliopsida; Poales; Poaceae. The record is from RNAcentral.
AUGAGCUCGAGCAUGCAAGAAGGGAUGACAAGCAGUUUAGCUCAGGGAUCCUCUCGAGCCGAGGCGUCCUUCAGGGUGUACUACAGCAUCGGCGCCGGCACCGUGCCGUUCGUCUGGGAGACCAAGCCCGGCACGCCCAGGCGCACCAUCGACCCCGUAGUCGCCGCGGCCAACGACGCGCCGCCGCCAAUCACGCCGCCGCCAUUGUACCAGUCCAAGACCAUGAAGAGGUGCACAAGCACAAGGAAGUCAUCUUCUUGCUGGCCUCCCCGGAUGACGAGCUGGCUGAACAUCAGGACCCGCCGUCGUGGUCCAAUCGCGACACCCGGCUUCCACCAGACCGCGGUGUCGAUGAUCAACGGCUACAGCGGCGGCGUGCCAUCCUUGGGAGCUUCUGAGCCCGGCAUCGGCAUGGACCGUUGGAACUAG